This 690-nucleotide ribosomal RNA is filed under the name Cedecea sp. RNAcentral describes it as "bacterial SSU rRNA". It matches the Rfam family "Bacterial small subunit ribosomal RNA", at positions 51 to 732 of the family's 1533-position model. Lineage: Bacteria; Pseudomonadati; Pseudomonadota; Gammaproteobacteria; Enterobacterales; Enterobacteriaceae. The record is from RNAcentral.
ACACAUGCAAGUCGAGCGGUAGCACAGAGAGCUUGCUCUCGGGUGACGAGCGGCGGACGGGUGAGUAAUGUCUGGGAAACUGCCUGAUGGAGGGGGAUAACUACUGGAAACGGUAGCUAAUACCGCAUAACGUCGCAAGACCAAAGAGGGGGACCUUCGGGCCUCUUGCCAUCAGAUGUGCCCAGAUGGGAUUAGCUAGUAGGUGGGGUAACGGCUCACCUAGGCGACGAUCCCUAGCUGGUCUGAGAGGAUGACCAGCCACACUGGAACUGAGACACGGUCCAGACUCCUACGGGAGGCAGCAGUGGGGAAUAUUGCACAAUGGGCGCAAGCCUGAUGCAGCCAUGCCGCGUGUAUGAAGAAGGCCUUCGGGUUGUAAAGUACUUUCAGCGGGGAGGAAGGUGUUGUGGUUAAUAACCACAGCAAUUGACGUUACCCGCAGAAGAAGCACCGGCUAACUCCGUGCCAGCAGCCGCGGUAAUACGGAGGGUGCAAGCGUUAAUCGGAAUUACUGGGCGUAAAGCGCACGCAGGCGGUCUGUCAAGUCGGAUGUGAAAUCCCCGGGCUCAACCUGGGAACUGCAUUCGAAACUGGCAGGCUAGAGUCUUGUAGAGGGGGGUAGAAUUCCAGGUGUAGCGGUGAAAUGCGUAGAGAUCUGGAGGAAUACCGGUGGCGAAGGCGGCCCCCUGG